This 245-nucleotide ribosomal RNA is filed under the name uncultured Nocardioides sp. Its description in RNAcentral is "partial 16S ribosomal RNA". It matches the Rfam family "Bacterial small subunit ribosomal RNA", at positions 524 to 768 of the family's 1533-position model. Lineage: Bacteria; Bacillati; Actinomycetota; Actinomycetes; Propionibacteriales; Nocardioidaceae. The record is from RNAcentral.
UACGUAGGGUGCGAGCGUUGUCCGGAAUUAUUGGGCGUAAAGGGCUCGUAGGCGGUUUGUCGCGUCGGGAGUGAAAACCCAGGGCUUAACUCUGGGCUUGCUUUCGAUACGGGCAGACUAGAGGUAUGCAGGGGAGAACGGAAUUCCUGGUGUAGCGGUGAAAUGCGCAGAUAUCAGGAGGAACACCGGUGGCGAAGGCGGUUCUCUGGGCAUUACCUGACGCUGAGGAGCGAAAGUGUGGGGAG